AUGCACGUCAUUUGAUAGGAAGUGAUUUCAGAAACAUGAGACUGUAGGAGUAUAGCUGGGGAUUCAUGAAAUGGGGGAGAGAGGUUACAAUGAGGCCCUUUUCCAUGGCUGAGGCUGGAACAUACUGCAGCAACUGUACCUUCACUGUGGCACUAAUAACAACCACUGGCUUCCACAAGUGAAAGCAUUGCUCCUGAAACAGAGGAGUAGCAAGGAGUUAAGCGAGACAGAGGGCAGACUGGGGAACAUGCAAGUUCCUCCACGCAGCCCCACAGGAAACCUGCACUACCCUGCUCUUCUGACCCAAGCGUUUCUUGAGCUCAUCUGAGCUCCCCACUCCCUCUGUGGGAAGGGGUGAUAAAUAUUCUGGGAGGGCAUGCACACGGAUACUAUGCAUACUCCAGAAUAGGUUAAGUGCUUCAAGGUAUUGCCAGUUUAUGCACAGUUUGCUGAUAUCUUAAAACACAUUCAGAAUUGUCUCCCUAGUUUUCAAAACCCAUCUUGCACUGUCUCUUCAUCUUCUUUCCAGCUUUGUGUCACUUCAAGACCAUAUAUCACUCUUGACCUAUUCUUUCUUUGCCACUGUAGAACUCUCGUGGUUAGUGGUUAUUGCUUGUUUUCAUCCUGCUUUUUUCCACGUAUCUGCAAAACAGUCUCACCUUCCUAUCGAGAACAUUAUACUAGUUCUCAUGCAUAGCUUUCCUGUUUGCUUUAACCUGUGACUGACUGACACUAUUCAUCUUCCACUUUCAUUUAAAACAAGCUCUCAAAAGUCCUUAUGGCUUGCUUUUUUUUUUUUUUUCUUUUGCCACUUGAAAUGUUAGUUUUCCUUCUCUGUCCUUGGCUCAAGGAUUCUCUCCUUCUGCAAAGUUGAGCUUUGCUGUAUCCAGCUGUGCAGAAGCUGUUUUAUUUAUUCAUAUAUUCUAUGAAGGAAUACAAGAUCUCUGUUCCAUACAGUGUUGGUGGGAUAAAAGGUAAAAAGCAAGGGAAAGGUAGUACCAUCCUAUGUGGAAUACGAAGGAGUAAUACUGCUUGUAAGGAAAAUGAGCCUAGAGAGUUUACCAAGAAAUGAGAACAUGUGCAAAAGGCAAAGAAUGUGGACGUAAUUGGUAUCUUCAACAAAGAGCACAUUCAGUUUUACAAAUGUGAACUCUUUUCAUGCUAUUUUCUAGGAGGAACAGGAAAAACUGCAAAAAAUGUUUAGCUGCCUCCUUAUUCAUUUUCAAAUUAUCUUUUAAAAUCCAGCUAUCUUCAGGCACGCAUUUCCCAGCAUAUCCAAUUUCUUAUACUCCUGUAUUUCUAACUCAGAACUAUACUACAAAUAAAUUAAAUGUAUGCUAUUUUUCUUUGUUUUGUUGGUUUGGUUUUUUUGUUUGUUUGUUUGCUAUCCUCAUCUUGCUGGCUGAACCUUUUCAUGGACUUUUAGAGGUCCAGUGUUAAAGCAUUAGAGCUUAGCUGCAGCCUUGAUAGUGGUAAGGAUUUAUUCCCUGCAGCAUGCCUAAGAACAAAUUUUGAUAUACUUUUAGGCUGAAACUGACAAAUUGGAAGAGGUUAGAAACCUUUCAAUGAUUUGUGUGUAAUAUUUCACUCAACUUUGUCCCACUAUCCAUGACUUUCAAUAUGCAACUACCUUUAUUUAAGAAGUACUCUUAUAUUGUUUAUCUAUCCUGCAAUUCAUAAUGAUUUCAAGCAAGAGACUAUUCAAAAAGGGGAGAGGAAGUAACAGAAAGGAAGAAGGUAUAUUCUAAGAUGUUCAUUAGGUAAGAGAGAGGAGGUUAAUUCUUGAAUUGGUGUAAACAGCUAUUGCUUUAGUGAAGUUGAUAAAGAUACACUAAUUUGCUCCACAUGAGACCAAAACUGUGCUCAGCAUUUUCAGCUGAAUGGCACUGAUAUACAGGUGUUUCUGGAUAUGUGUUGAUAUGAAUAGAAAAAUAUUUUAUGUGCAGUGAAGAUAUCACAGCUUGAGCAAGAAGUACACAUAAUGCUUUUGAGUUUAGAUAUUAUACCACUUUGUAGCCUCAUUUAGUUAGAUUUAUUUCAGUGCUGCCUUUCUUCCUGUACAUUCAAGCUAAUACUACAAAAAUCAAAAGCAUCUUACUGGAAGAGUUGAUGUCCUCCAAAAAUACUUGAAAAGAAAUAUGAUUAAAAAGGUCUCCACUCUUCCUAAAGCAAAAUACUAAAUGGAGCCUUUUUUUUUUUUUUUUUUUUUUUUUAUAUAUAUAUUAUUUUCCAGUCACCUCUACUGGCUAUAUUUAUGGUAUCCUUUGCGAAUAGUAAAUUUUAUAACAACAAGUCGUUGUGAGCCUAUGUCUGUUAUAAGGAGAAAAGAUAGCACUUUGGUGUGACUACCAGUAAGUUACCAAAAAAUUUCUGUGCAAAGCAGAAAGUAAAAAAAAUUCAAGUAACUUUUCUAUAUGCAUUUUAGGUAUGUCCAUACAUUAAUCACCUUGAAACAAUCAUCCUACACUAUGAGAAGCUAUGCUUUGUACAGGACCAUUUUGUUUACGUGUCCGUAUAAUUUAAACAUAAGGCUAUUCUUAUUUCUUCAG
Long non-coding RNA from Gallus gallus (chicken), 2549 nucleotides. The record is from Ensembl. NCBI's taxonomy places the organism in Eukaryota, Metazoa, Chordata, Aves, Galliformes, Phasianidae.